Molecule: ribosomal RNA, 253 nt
Filed under: uncultured bacterium
Lineage: Bacteria
Description: partial 16S ribosomal RNA
Rfam family: Bacterial small subunit ribosomal RNA
Source: RNAcentral
UACGUAGGGGGCGAGCGUUGUCCGGAUUUAUUGGGCGUAAAGAGCGUGUAGGCGGCCAGGCAGGUCUGCUGUGAAAACUCGAGGCUCAACCUCGAGACGUCGGCGGAAACCAUCUGGCUAGAGUCCGGAAGAGGAGAGUGGAAUUCCUGGUGUAGCGGUGAAAUGCGCAGAUAUCAGGAAGAACACCCGUGGCGAAGGCGGCUCUCUGGGACGGUACUGACGCUGAGACGCGAAAGCGUGGGUAGCAAACAGG